GACGAACGCUGGCGGCGUGCUUAACACAUGCAAGUCGAACGGAAAGGCCCUGCUUUUGUGGGGUGCUCGAGUGGCGAACGAGUGAGUAACACGUGAGUAACCUGCCCUUGACUUUGGGAUAACUUCAGGAAACUGGGGCUAAUAUCGGAUAGGAGCUCCUGCUGCAUGGAGGGGGUUGGAAAUUUUCGGCGGUCGGGGAUGGACUCGCGGCUUAUCAGCUUGUUGGUGGGGUAGUGGCUUACCAACGCUUUGACGGGUAGGCGGCCUGAGAGGGUGACCGGGCACAUUGGGACUGAGAUACGGCCCAGACUCCAACGGGAGGCAGCAGUGGGGAAUAUGGCACAACGGGCGGAAGCCUGAUGCAGCAACGCCGCGUGCGGGAUGACGGCCUUCGGGGUGUAAACCGCUUUCGCCUGUGACGAAGCGUGAGUGACGGUAAUGGGUAAAGAAGCACCGGCUAACUACGUG
RNAcentral lists this ribosomal RNA (468 nucleotides) under uncultured bacterium. RNAcentral's name for it is "partial 16S ribosomal RNA". It matches the Rfam family "Bacterial small subunit ribosomal RNA", at positions 28 to 507 of the family's 1533-position model. The record is from RNAcentral.